RNAcentral lists this ribosomal RNA (522 nucleotides) under Bifidobacterium longum subsp. infantis. RNAcentral's name for it is "bacterial SSU rRNA". It matches the Rfam family "Bacterial small subunit ribosomal RNA", at positions 160 to 697 of the family's 1533-position model. The record is from RNAcentral. RNAcentral also lists the same sequence under 1 other name. Lineage: Bacteria; Bacillati; Actinomycetota; Actinomycetes; Bifidobacteriales; Bifidobacteriaceae.
GUGGUAAUGCCGGAUGUUCCAGUUGAUCGCAUGGUCUUCUGGGAAAGCUUUCGCGGUAUGGGAUGGGGUCGCGUCCUAUCAGCUUGACGGCGGGGUAACGGCCCACCGUGGCUUCGACGGGUAGCCGGCCUGAGAGGGCGACCGGCCACAUUGGGACUGAGAUACGGCCCAGACUCCUACGGGAGGCAGCAGUGGGGAAUAUUGCACAAUGGGCGCAAGCCUGAUGCAGCGACGCCGCGUGAGGGAUGGAGGCCUUCGGGUUGUAAACCUCUUUUAUCGGGGAGCAAGCGUGAGUGAGUUUACCCGUUGAAUAAGCACCGGCUAACUACGUGCCAGCAGCCGCGGUAAUACGUAGGGUGCAAGCGUUAUCCGGAAUUAUUGGGCGUAAAGGGCUCGUAGGCGGUUCGUCGCGUCCGGUGUGAAAGUCCAUCGCUUAACGGUGGAUCCGCGCCGGGUACGGGCGGGCUUGAGUGCGGUAGGGGAGACUGGAAUUCCCGGUGUAACGGUGGAAUGUGUAGAUAU